AACGAACGCUGGCGGCAGGCCUAACACAUGCAAGUCGAACGCCGUAGCAAUACGGAGUGGCAGACGGGUGAGUAACGCGUGGGAACAUACCCCUCGGUUCGGAAUAACUCAGGGAAACUUGAGCUAAUACCGGAUACGUCCGAGGUUUUAAUCGACCUUGGAGAAAGAUUUAUCGCCGGAGGAUUGGCCCGCGUCCGAUUAGCUAGUUGGUGAGGUAAUGGCUCACCAAGGCGACGAUCGGUAACUGGCUGAGAGGACGACCAGUCACACUGGGACUGAGACACGGCCCAGACUCCUACGGGAGGCAGCAGGUGGGGAGUAUUGGACAAGUGGGGGAAACCCUGAUCCAGCCAUGCCGCGUGAGUGAUGAAGGCC
RNAcentral lists this ribosomal RNA (375 nucleotides) under uncultured bacterium. RNAcentral describes it as "bacterial SSU rRNA". It matches the Rfam family "Bacterial small subunit ribosomal RNA", at positions 29 to 416 of the family's 1533-position model. The record is from RNAcentral.